Molecule: long non-coding RNA, 1566 nt
Organism: Scatophagus argus
Lineage: Eukaryota; Metazoa; Chordata; Actinopteri; Scatophagidae
Exons: 3
Source: RefSeq, a predicted model, not a curated record
GCCACUAGUGGCAGUAUUGAGAACUCAGUGCGGCUCCACAGUCAACCAGUCGGUAAUCGGAACCUGCGCCAUCUUGAUUUUUUUUAAUUGAUUAUCAUGGAAGUAAUACAUUCUCUCACAAAAUACUUUUGUGAGCGUACACCCGCGUGAUAUUGUUUUUAAUCUACAAACACACUAAAGAGGAUGACUUUGCGUCUGAAGAAUUUUUAUUUUCCCUCAUAAACUCACCAUACGUGUAUGAGGGCCUUAGUCAUUUAAAUUUUCAAAUAAAAUUACUACCGGUCACAAAUUAUGGGAUCCCAGCUGAAGACACUUUGCGCCAAUCUACUCCGAGGUUGGAUGCGUCCCUGGCUGACGGUUUUACUGAAGGAAGGAGAAGCAAACCUGACCAGGUAGCAAGACAGCAGUGGCCCCUUAAGACCAGACUAGGCGCAAGUGCUUGCACAAGGAUUUGACCUGCACAAUUAUUCAAGGAGGAAUGGAUUCAAAUAGCCCUCUGAGCAAAGUGGCACAGGCUCUAAGCAGAGGGGGCAAUCAUAGGCACAGAAUGAGAAACGCAAGUAGGGCAGCAGCUGGCUGGAAAGAGAAGAGGAUCCAAGCGAAAUAAAGAGAUCCCUGCUCAGGGCCCAAGGAUGAGAGCAGAGCCACUAUCCUGGAGCACACUCUGUGCACAUGGGCACGCAGACACCUAUGAUUAACAGCCUUCAGUCUAUUAAUAUGCUGUCUCGAGUUUCUGCCCAAACUGCAGAGAAUUUACUGUUACUUUUGCCCUUGGAACCGAUGCUAAAGAAUAGGCACCAAUUAUGCCUUUGUUCAGUUUUACAUUCAGCUAAUGUCUGAUGUUUUGGUUGUGUGUUUUUACUAUUUUGGAGAAAAUUAGUUACUCCGAUCUUUCCACUGCCACUGGGUGCAGUCUGCUCUUCUACUCUUCCUUUACUUUACCGUUAGCCAUUAAACAUUAAAGUCACUGAAAUUUGCUUGCUGACUGUUCAGUGUUUCACUCUGACCUUAGAAUAAGAGGCAAUUUUUCAGUCAGAGUCAUUCAUUUAAAAGUAAAAUCUGUAAAUGUUUAUCAUCAGGAGUUUUAGGCUUUCUUCGUGUUGAAGUUGGAAUAGCUAGUUCCUCAUGCUCUGUAGUCAGAACAAGAACAGGUGGUGAGGCUGUCAAUUAAGACAAAUGCACAGCUUCAAUAUUUUAUUCUCACUAUUUAUAUGAAAAGGACACACAAGGAUCAAUGGCAAAAACAUUACACAGUGUCUGGGGCUAUUUCCACUUCUUUGAUGUUUUUCACCCUGGUCUUUUUGUAGUCAGAGGACACAAGCUGUCUUUUCAGUGGAAAAGACAGCUUCUGCAUCUUCUGCUUAUUAUCAGAUAUGAUUUUUCUGGCAGAAUUUCUUCAUGUCAGUGAAUUGGUGGAAGUUUCCCAGGUUUACUAAUUUAAGUUGUAAUUAAACAUUUACAGGCUGUACAGUAGUCAGUCAUGUCAUAUAAUCACAAUGAACAUCUCAGAAUUAUAAUAAACUCUAUUGAUACAUUGAUGUUAUGAGAUUAAAAUGGCUCAUAAAU